This 497-nucleotide ribosomal RNA is filed under the name uncultured bacterium. RNAcentral's name for it is "bacterial SSU rRNA". It matches the Rfam family "Bacterial small subunit ribosomal RNA", at positions 43 to 518 of the family's 1533-position model. The record is from RNAcentral.
CGCACAUAAGACAUGCAAGUCGAACGGAAGUACGUAAUAAAAAUAGAACGAAGAUUUAUCAGAGUGAAGUUUUAUUACAAUGGCUUUAGUGGCGGACUGGUGAGUAAUGUAUAAGUAACCUGCCUAUCAGAGGGGAACAACAGUUGGAAACGACUGCUAAUACCGCAUAUGCCAUAAUGGAGACAUCUUCAUAGUGGGAAAGGAGCAAUCCGCUGAUAGAUGGACUUAUAUCUGAUUAGCUAGUUGGUGGGGUAACGGCCUACCAAGGCGACGAUCAGUAGCCGAACUGAGAGGUUAAACGGCCACAUUGGGACUGAGAUACGGCCCAGACUCCUACGGGAGGCAGCAGUCGGGAAUAUUGCGCAAUGGAGGAAACUCUGAACCGCAGUGACGCCGCGUGCAGGAAGAAGGUUUUCGGAUUGUAAACUGCUUUAGACAGGGAAGAAAAAGACAGUACCUGUAGAAUAAGCUCCGGCUAACUACGUGCCAGCCGCAGC